RNAcentral lists this ribosomal RNA (212 nucleotides) under uncultured Staphylococcus sp. Its description in RNAcentral is "partial 16S ribosomal RNA". It matches the Rfam family "Bacterial small subunit ribosomal RNA", at positions 151 to 357 of the family's 1533-position model. The record is from RNAcentral. Lineage: Bacteria; Bacillati; Bacillota; Bacilli; Caryophanales; Staphylococcaceae.
GGGAAACCGGAGCUAAUACCGGAUAANAUUUUGAACCGCAUGGUUCAAAAGUGAAAGACGGUCUUGCUGUCACUUAUAGAUGGAUCCGCGCUGCAUUAGCUAGUUGGUAAGGUAACGGCUUACCAAGGCAACGAUGCAUAGCCGACCUGAGAGGGUGAUCGGCCACACUGGAACUGAGACACGGUCCAGACUCCUACGGGAGGGCAGCAGAC